CAUUUACUCCCUUCGAAAAUACUUGUGAGAUAAAUGAAAAGAAAUGGAUGUAUCUAGAACUAAAAUACGUCUAGAUACAUCCAUUUUCUCGACAAGUAUUUCUGAAUGGAGAGAGUACUUG
Non-coding RNA from Hordeum vulgare subsp. vulgare (domesticated barley), 121 nucleotides. Lineage: Eukaryota; Viridiplantae; Streptophyta; Magnoliopsida; Poales; Poaceae. The record is from Rfam.